UUGAACGCUGGCGGCAGGCCUAACACAUGCAAGUCGAACGGUAACAGGAAGCAGCUUGCUGCUUUGCUGACGAGUGGCGGACGGGUGAGUAAUGUCUGGGAAACUGCCCGAUGGAGGGGGAUAACUACUGGAAACGGUAGCUAAUACCGCAUAACGUCGCAAGACCAAAGAGGGGGACCUUCGGGCCUCUUGCCAUCGGAUGUGCCCAGAUGGGAUUAGCUAGUAGGUGGGGUAACGGCUCACCUAGGCGACGAUCCCUAGCUGGUCUGAGAGGAUGACCAGCCACACUGGAACUGAGACACGGUCCAGACUCCUACGGGAGGCAGCAGUGGGGAAUAUUGCACAAUGGGCGCAAGCCUGAUGCAGCCAUGCCGCGUGUAUGAAGAAGGCCUUCGGGUUGUAAAGUACUUUCAGCGGGGAGGAAGGGAGUAAAGUUAAUACCUUUGCUCAUUGACGUUACCCGCAGAAGAAGCACCGGCUAACUCCGUGCCAGCAGCCGCGGUAAUACGGAGGGCGCAAGCGUUAAUCGGAAUUACUGGGCGUAAAGCGCACGCAGGCGGUUUGUUAAGUCAGAUGUGAAAUCCCCGGGCUCAACCUGGGAACUGCAUCUGAUACUGGCAAGCUUGAGUCUCGUAGAGGGGGGUAGAAUUCCAGGUGUAGCGGUGAAAUGCGUAGAGAUCUGGAGGAAUACCGGUGGCGAAGGCGGCCCCCUGGACGAAGACUGACGCUCAGGUGCGAAAGCGUGGGGAGCAAACAGGAUUAGAUACCCUGGUAGUCCACGCCGUAAACGAUGUCGACUUGGAGGUUGUGCCCUUGAGGCGUGGCUUCCGGAGCUAACGCGUUAAGUCGACCGCCUGGGGAGUACGGCCGCAAGGUUAAAACUCAAAUGAAUUGACGGGGGCCCGCACAAGCGGUGGAGCAUGUGGUUUAAUUCGAUGCAACGCGAAGAACCUUACCUGGUCUUGACAUCCACGGAAGUUUUCAGAGAUGAGAAUGUGCCUUCGGGAACCGUGAGACAGGUGCUGCAUGGCUGUCGUCAGCUCGUGUUGUGAAAUGUUGGGUUAAGUCCCGCAACGAGCGCAACCCUUAUCCUUUGUUGCCAGCGGUCCGGCCGGGAACUCAAAGGAGACUGCCAGUGAUAAACUGGAGGAAGGUGGGGAUGACGUCAAGUCAUCAUGGCCCUUACGACCAGGGCUACACACGUGCUACAAUGGCGCAUACAAAGAGAAGCGACCUCGCGAGAGCAAGCGGACCUCAUAAAGUGCGUCGUAGUCCGGAUUGGAGUCUGCAACUCGACUCCAUGAAGUCGGAAUCGCUAGUAAUCGUGGAUCAGAAUGCCACGGUGAAUACGUUCCCGGGCCUUGUACACACCGCCCGUCACACCAUGGGAGUGGGUUGCAAAAGAAGUAGGUAGCUUAACCUUCGGGAGGGCGCUUACCACUUUGUGAUUCAUGACUGG
Molecule: ribosomal RNA, 1459 nt
Filed under: uncultured organism
Description: SSU rRNA
Rfam family: Bacterial small subunit ribosomal RNA
Source: RNAcentral